CUAAGAAUCUUCCACAAUGGACGGAAGUCUGAUGGAGCGACGCCGCGUGGACGAUGAAGGCCGUGAGGUUGUAAAGUCCUUUUCGGGAGGGGGAAUAACCUGGGGAGGGAAUGCCCCGGGGAUGACGUGAAUCCCGGAAUAAGCCCCGGCUAACUACGUGCCAGCAGCCGCGGUAAUACGUAGGGGGCGAGCGUUGUUCGGAAUCAUUGGGCGUAAAGGGUGCGCAGGUGGCCUUUCAAGUCUGGCGUUAAAGUUCGGGGCUCAACUCCGUGAUGCGCUGGAAACUGGAGGGCUAGAGUACAGCAGGGGGGCAUCGGAAUUCCAGGUGUAGGGGUGAAAUCUGUAGAUAUAAGGAAGAACACCAGUGGCGAAGGCGGAUUACUGGACGACAACUGACGGUGAGGCGCGAAAGCGUGGGGAGCAAACAGGAUUAGAUACCCUGGUAGU
This 447-nucleotide ribosomal RNA is filed under the name uncultured Spirochaeta sp. Its description in RNAcentral is "bacterial SSU rRNA". It matches the Rfam family "Bacterial small subunit ribosomal RNA", at positions 355 to 794 of the family's 1533-position model. The record is from RNAcentral. Lineage: Bacteria; Pseudomonadati; Spirochaetota; Spirochaetia; Spirochaetales; Spirochaetaceae.